CGUGGUUCUUUGCAUGUUUCCCAUCUGGAAAAGUGAGAAUAUUUAGCCAGCCUACCUACUACACAACAUUCUUGGGAGAAUCAAGCAAAAUAACAAAAAAGCUUAGAAAAGUUCAGCAAAACGCAAACUUAAGAGAUUCCGUGUGCUGGGAAGUCAUGGACUUGAGCUGGCUGGCGACGGUUUCAUGUAACAGCAGGAACUGGACCCUGCAACGCAUGAACAGUGUACCAGAACACGAGAGAGAACACCCAAGACCCGGCCACAGCUCCCAGGAGCUUCGGUUAUAACAAGACAGGUAAACAUAUGAUGACGCUCCUCAAAUGCUUUAUUGAAAUGAAGGAAGGAAUGAGGAGGGAUGAAAGGGAGGAGGGAGGAAGGGCAGGGAAAGAGGGAAAUCAAACCACUGUUUCACACAUUCAUCCAGUGUUCUGGAUGUCUAGGGGGAAAGGAAAAUCGAGUCUCGUUGCCCCAACGGGUCUGAAAGGAAAAUUCUCUCGUCUUUGGGGUUAAAGUGUGCUGUUUAAUUUCCGAAUAGUUGGGGAACGUUUUUGUUAUUUUCUCUAAUUUAUUUCAUUUAUUUGAGAUCUCUAAGAGUUUACUGCUCUCAGUCUCCUUUUAAAUGCUCCUUUUAAGUGCAUGUGACGAAUUUUCAUAUGUUGUGUUUUGAUUUUUCAUUCAGUUCAAGAUACUUCCUAAUUUCCCCGUUGAUUUCUUCUAAUAUCCCCGUGUUACUCAGAAGUAUGUUAUUUAGCUUCCAGAUAUUGGGAGAUUUUCCGAGACCUUUCUGAAAAGUUUUGUUUUCCUCUAACUGCUUGUAUGAUUUUAUCUUCAUUCUAAUUGGCUGCAGUUGCACUAAGGUAUAUUUAGAUAUUAAUUUCUUUUUAUUUAUCAUGCUUGGGGUUCAGAAGGCUUCGUGGAGCUGGGGCAGCUCUACCAUUUUCUCUUCCGAGGAUGCUGUUCUCUCUCUCUCUCUCUCUCCUCUUCCCCUAGAGCUCCAUUUAAAUACACGACAUCCCUUCUCGGUCUCUGAUCCAAGUCUCUUAACUAAUCUUCCCCAUUUUCCAUUUGUUUGUCUCUCUGUGCUGUAUUCUGGAUAAUUCUUUCUGAUUUAUCUCCUAGUUCCUGGGUUCUUUGCUCAGGUCUAUCAAAUCUGUCUUUCUUACAGCCCAGGCAACGCGAAUUUUGGCUGAAAAUGCAAGGAAGGGCUGGGAUGUGGUUACAGUACCCCAGGAUCUUUCCUUCCCAGCCUGCUCAGCACCGAGGUGAUGUCCUUGUGGCCCCCAAAGUACUGGGGGGCAGUGUUGCUUCUGCUCUACCCUCACCCGCAGGCCAGCUCUUAGGGCCUCAGCUCCACAUGAGCUCCUCUUAAUCCUUUUAGAUCCCACCUGGGCAGCCUCGGACUUGAUGAAUUAUUUCCUUGCCCUUCGAGGCUGUCAAAACCAAAGUCAAACAUGGCAACGCUUGCUUGUGCCUGGAAGCAAAAGCCAUUCACAGAAUCUAGUUUCUACCCCAUUUUUUUGAUUCUCCUUUCUGUUGGGUUCUGAUUUGGUCACCCUUUACUCCUUGUUAGUUCUGAAAUGUUUCUAAGAAACUCAUUUCCACAUUUAUCCAGCAUGUUUAGUUGCUUUGAUUAGGAGAAUUGGUCCACAUAACCCAGUCUACCGUGUUACCGUAUUUCUUUUUUUAAGUGGUAUUUUUCAGUAUGUAAUUAACACGCAUUAAUUUUUAAAGUUUGGAAAAUACAGACAAGUCUAAGAAGGAAACUCGAAAGUCGCCCAUGGGCUUCCCUCCCACAUGCAACCGCUCUCGGCGUUUGUAGGACUUUCCCGCUAACUAGUGGUGAGCACAGGUCUGAGUCGGCUUUCCCUCAUCUGCUGAGCUCUCUUGUGCAGGACCUCCUCCACUCUUGCUCUGCCCCGGUUUUCUUUAUCACUGGAGCUCAGACAUCACAUGAAGAUCAAGGACAACCUGUAAGUCGUUAGAUGCCAACACUGGGGAGAAGGAAACAUGGAAACCUGGAUGAGAUAGCCCAGAAAAUGCAACAGAAGAUGGGAGCCAUGCUGGAUACGGUCAUCACAGGUGCGGAAGCAACCGUUAACAUCGCGUGGCAGCGAUGAGUCGGCGAGCAGGUGGCAGUGAAGCCUUGGCCCGUGCACGCUACCCACGUAGUCUUGAAUGAUGCAAUUAAUAGAAAACAUGUGCAAUGGAAGACAGACCUUCUCCAUCAGAGACUCUGAGGGCUGGUUUGCUAUGAGACGCGCCCAGAGACUGGGCUGAUGAAUCCAUGCAGUGUUGCCCAGUUGUUCAACGACACGCCCAGAAUAACAAUCACUGUAUCUGAUUUCCAGGGAAAUGCAGAGUAAACCAAGGAGACACCAUCUCACACCUGCGAGAACAGCCAACACCCAGAACACGUUAGCUGACCGCUGCCGAGGACGUGGAGCGCCUUUCACAUCACCGAUGUGGUUCAUGUUACCCCAGUACAUUCAAAACAAGUCGCAGGCCCGUAGGACCAGCGCUGGGAGUCGGGUUACAGCAGGUGGCUUCCUGGCGGGUGAAGCCCUUCUCCCGGAUGUGGCUGAGGUUCCCGGACGGACGAGGAAACGCCCACUGCCAGGCUGCGCCGCCAGCAGGGGGCGAAGGUGACCCCUCCCAGGGAAAAGCGGCUUUGGCCACAGGCACUCAGGCAGUGUCCACCUCGCUUUAUGGUUAAUAAACGUAGGGGCCCCGGCUGGCUCCGUCAGCAGAGUACGUGACUCUUGAUCUCCCAGUGAUCUCCCGAAAGGUUGCCGAGAUAGUUCCGGUUGCCGAGAUAGUUCCGAGUUGUGUGUUCACCUUCCGUGACCGUGGCGAGUGGGUCCACACAGAGAACCCCACACUGGGGCAUGACUGUUAGCUGCACUCCAGAUUCAUUUGGAUUUUGCUGGCCCAUCCACUGGUGUCCUUGGUCCGGUCUGAUUCAGGAUCCCAUGCCGGGUCACUGUAUUUCACCCUGACGGUGCGAUGGGGCCAGAAGGUUUGGGGGUCUGACCUGACUCUGGAUCAGGGACCGCAGUAAAACCGAAGACCCGUGGGGCCAUCCGUGCACCCAGCGUCGCCGCGUCCUGCCAGCCCCAAGUGGAGAAACAGGACGUUCUUCCGACCCGAGUCCGCUCCUUUCGCCCGCGUCCUCAGAGCAGCACUGGGAUGGGGAAGAAUGGGAUUCCCGCGCCCGGAGCGCCAGGGUCACAGGGUCGCCAAGGAUUUGAGAGCAGAUUUGAGAGCAGAGCUUGGGGACAGCGAUAAGGGUGAGGCCCUGCACAGGGUACCCGAGGCCAGUGUGAGCUCUCGCGGCCCUGACGGGGCAACAGGGCGAUGAGGGCCAGCCUCCCCGUCCCAGUCCCAGACACAGGCUAGUCCGGCUCCCCGCUCCCCCCCAUCCUGUGGAGACACAGUUAAUUCCAGACUGUGUGCCUUUGGUCUCCCUCCCCCCACCCCCACGC
Ailuropoda melanoleuca (giant panda) is the source of this 3482-nucleotide long non-coding RNA. RefSeq lists it as uncharacterized. Lineage: Eukaryota; Metazoa; Chordata; Mammalia; Carnivora; Ursidae. The record is from RefSeq and is a predicted model, not a curated record. The transcript is spliced from 6 exons.